This 500-nucleotide ribosomal RNA is filed under the name uncultured bacterium. RNAcentral describes it as "partial 16S ribosomal RNA". It matches the Rfam family "Bacterial small subunit ribosomal RNA", at positions 30 to 523 of the family's 1533-position model. The record is from RNAcentral.
AUUGAACGCUGGCGGCAUGCCUUACACAUGCAAGUCGAACGGCAGCGCGGACUUCGGUCUGGCGGCGAGUGGCGAACGGGUGAGUAAUACAUCGGAACGUACCCUGUCGUGAGGGAUAACUAGUCGAAAGAUUAGCUAAUACCGCAUACGACCUGAGGGUGAAAGUGGGGGACCGCAAGGCCUCAAGCAGCAGGCGCGGCCGAUGUCUGAUUAGCUAGUUGGUGGGGUAAAGGCCAACCAAGGCGACGAUCAGUAGCUGGUCUGAGAGGACGAUCAGCCACACUGGGACUGAGACACGGCCCAGACUCCUACGGGAGGCAGCAGUGGGGAAUUUUGGACAAUGGGGGCAACCCUGAUCCAGCAAUGCCGCGUGUGUGAAGAAGGCCUUCGGGUUGUAAAGCACUUUUGUCCGGAAAGAAAUCGCGCUGGUUAAUACCUGGCGUGGAUGACGGUACCGGAAGAAUAAGCACCGGCUAACUACGUGCCAGCCGCCGCUGUAA